This 362-nucleotide long non-coding RNA is filed under the name Prunus persica (peach). RNAcentral describes it as "long non-coding RNA (PPER_LNC002217)". The record is from RNAcentral. Lineage: Eukaryota; Viridiplantae; Streptophyta; Magnoliopsida; Rosales; Rosaceae.
UUUGUUUUUUAUGUAUGGAAUGUUUUGAAUAAAAAGGAUUUUUGUUGAAUAUUUUCUUUAUUGACUAAAAGAAAAGCAAUACAACUAAUAAUAAAAUAAAAUACAUGAAUUAAACAAAACAAAAAAUACAAUGAAAUGAAACGUACAUGAAUUAAAGAAAACAAAAAAUACAAUGAAAUCAAAGGUACAUGAAUUAAAGAAAACAAAAAAUACAAUGAAAUCAAAGCCAAGUAAACUAAGACAUGAAAGGCAAACAAACUAGUUUAAUGGUUUCCAUCAUUUAACCAAUCCGUGUUGCUAGGUCCAUCGUCACGAAAAAGUCUUCGUCUCAUAAUAUCCCUUCGUUCUAGCUUCCAAUAUUG